Molecule: unclassified non-coding RNA, 207 nt
Filed under: Hevea brasiliensis (rubber tree)
Lineage: Eukaryota; Viridiplantae; Streptophyta; Magnoliopsida; Malpighiales; Euphorbiaceae
Source: RNAcentral
CGUUUUGAGGCUGGUUCAUCAUCCUCCACUCCUCCCAUGAAAUGUGCACCUCAGCCCAUCAGAUUUUGUUUGAAAUUUUGAGGAAGCCUUGAUUGUGAGACAANNNNNNNUUCCAGGAAAAGAGGGGAAGCCGUAGAUUGAAGAAAAGAAAAAGGCGGAGAGAGUUUCCCCAAAGGUUAUGCACCUAAUGUUGAAGAUAGAAGUACA